GACGAACGCUGGCGGCGUGCCUAAUACAUGCAAGUAGAACGCCGAAGGAGGAGCUUGCUUCUCCGGAUGAGUUGCGAACGGGUGAGUAACGCGUAGGUAACCUGCCUGGUAGCGGGGGAUAACUAUUGGAAACGAUAGCUAAUACCGCAUAACAGUAGAUGUUGCAUGACAUUUGCUUAAAAGGUGCAAUUGCAUCACUACCAGAUGGACCUGCGUUGUAUUAGCUAGUUGGUGAGGUAACGGCUCACCAAGGCGACGAUACAUAGCCGACCUGAGAGGGUGAUCGGCCACACUGGGACUGAGACACGGCCCAGACUCCUACGGGAGGCAGCAGUAGGGAAUCUUCGGCAAUGGACGGAAGUCUGACCGAGCAACGCCGCGUGAGUGAAGAAGGUUUUCGGAUCGUAAAGCUCUGUUGUAAGAGAAGAACGAGUGUGAGAGUGGAAAGUUCACACUGUGACGGUAUCUUACCAGAAAGGGACGGCUAACUACGUG
Molecule: ribosomal RNA, 495 nt
Filed under: uncultured bacterium
Lineage: Bacteria
Description: partial 16S ribosomal RNA
Rfam family: Bacterial small subunit ribosomal RNA
Source: RNAcentral